RNAcentral lists this ribosomal RNA (440 nucleotides) under uncultured bacterium. RNAcentral's name for it is "partial 16S ribosomal RNA". It matches the Rfam family "Bacterial small subunit ribosomal RNA", at positions 338 to 795 of the family's 1533-position model. The record is from RNAcentral.
CCUACGGGUGACAGCAGUAGGGAAUAUUGCUCAAUGGGGGAAACCCUGAAGCAGCAACGCCGCGUGGAUGAUGAAGGUUUUAGGAUUGUAAACUCCUUUUGUGAGCGAAGAUAAUGACGGUAUUUCACGAAUAAGCACCUGCUAACUCCGUGCCAGCAGCCGCGGUAAUACGGAGGGUGCAAGCGUUACUCGGAAUCACUGGGCGUAAAGUGUGCGCAGGUGGGCUUGUAAGUCAGAUGUGAAAUCCUGUAGCUUAACUACAGAACUGCAUUUGAAACUAUGAGUCUAGAGUGUGGGAGAGGUAGGUGGAAUUCUUGGUGUAGGGGUAAAAUGCGUAGAUAUGAAGAGGAAUACUGAUUGCGAAGGCGGCCUACUGGAACAUUACUGACGCUCAUGCACGAAAGCGUGGGGAGCAAACAGGAUUAGAUACCCUAGUAGUC